RNAcentral lists this ribosomal RNA (401 nucleotides) under Salmonella enterica. RNAcentral describes it as "bacterial SSU rRNA". It matches the Rfam family "Bacterial small subunit ribosomal RNA", at positions 38 to 435 of the family's 1533-position model. Lineage: Bacteria; Pseudomonadati; Pseudomonadota; Gammaproteobacteria; Enterobacterales; Enterobacteriaceae. RNAcentral also lists the same sequence under 1 other name. The record is from RNAcentral.
GGCGGCAGGCCUAACACAUGCAAGUCGAACGGUAACAGGAAGCAGCUUGCUGCUUCGCUGACGAGUGGCGGACGGGUGAGUAAUGUCUGGGAAACUGCCUGAUGGAGGGGGAUAACUACUGGAAACGGUGGCUAAUACCGCAUAACGUCGCAAGACCAAAGAGGGGGACCUUCGGGCCUCUUGCCAUCAGAUGUGCCCAGAUGGGAUUAGCUUGUUGGUGAGGUAACGGCUCACCAAGGCGACGAUCCCUAGCUGGUCUGAGAGGAUGACCAGCCACACUGGAACUGAGACACGGUCCAGACUCCUACGGGAGGCAGCAGUGGGGAAUAUUGCACAAUGGGCGCAAGCCUGAUGCAGCCAUGCCGCGUGUAUGAAGAAGGCCUUCGGGUUGUAAAGUACUU